ACCCCCAGGCAACGGGCAAGGAGACACCUUGGUGGUGCUGCUCCUAUAUCAGUCAGGGGCAGAGCAGAUGGCCGUCCUUUGUUCAUCCUAGCUUGAUGCCUGGCUUGGUGACCAAAGCUGGAUUAUGCCUAGGACACAUAA
This is a small nucleolar RNA of Rattus norvegicus (Norway rat), 141 nucleotides long. Ensembl annotates it as small nucleolar RNA SNORA48. The record is from Ensembl. NCBI's taxonomy places the organism in Eukaryota, Metazoa, Chordata, Mammalia, Rodentia, Muridae.